UAUUAACAUGUCAAAUUUCUCUCCAUUGCCAUGGUGCAGGUGUGUCCCAGCUUCAAAGCUCCCCUAUCAUCCGAGGAACUGCUUCGAAGCAGAGGAUGACUCAUGGAACAGCACCAGCACCCGCACUCUCACCACCUCCUGAAGCGCCAAGAUCCAGCGUAGCAAGGCAUGGAGGAAUGAACCAUGAUGCCCCCUGCUCUGCGUUUGAGGUCCAGAAAUUGACGCUGCUCCAGAAAAAUCGUUCACCAGAACGAGCAGAUUCUGGCUAAAUUGGAUUUCCUGGCAAGCCGCCAAAAUUGCCCCACGCCAGAGAUGACAGGACCUGAGAUUUCCAACGUUCAAUUUCCCCUGGAGGACCUACAGGCAGUAGAUGCCUUUGAAGAUCUACUUAAAGACCAGGCCAAUGCCUCCACUCGACAGCAAAUUAUAUCUUCUUUAUCGAUAAUCGGAGGCCAGGACCUGAAGAGGAUAACCUGGAACAUCCUUGGUCGAAUAUUCGGGGUUGCUGUGGCCCACCAGAUAAACUGGAAGGGGGUGAAUUCAAAGAGGGCUUUCAGCCGGAUGGCCAUUAGGC
Molecule: long non-coding RNA, 574 nt
Organism: Eleginops maclovinus (Patagonian blennie)
Lineage: Eukaryota; Metazoa; Chordata; Actinopteri; Perciformes; Eleginopidae
Exons: 4
Source: RefSeq, a predicted model, not a curated record